UGUAAACAUCCCCGACUGGAAGCUGUAAGAGCAGGUCUAGCUUUCAGUCAGAUGUUUGCU
This is a non-coding RNA of Struthio camelus australis, 60 nucleotides long. NCBI's taxonomy places the organism in Eukaryota, Metazoa, Chordata, Aves, Struthioniformes, Struthionidae. The record is from Rfam.